Long non-coding RNA from Megalobrama amblycephala (Wuchang bream), 1032 nucleotides. RefSeq lists it as uncharacterized. NCBI's taxonomy places the organism in Eukaryota, Metazoa, Chordata, Actinopteri, Cypriniformes, Xenocyprididae. The record is from RefSeq and is a predicted model, not a curated record. The transcript is spliced from 3 exons.
AGACUAGGACAUUCUCCUUCCAAAAAAGGCAUGCCUUUUGAUGUGUGUUUGGACAUUGGAUAGAGAGAACCAUGUUGGACCUCUACAAAUGGAGGGCAGAGGUCAGGGAACUGCAGUGUAAAUCAUUGACAAGCGAGAGUAUCCUCGCUGUGCUGCACACACUCUCAAAUGUUUUUCCUUCCCAGUUCUUCCUUUUUAUUUUUCACUUUAUUCAAGUCAUGUCUUGAAUUAUUUUAUCAAGUUUUCUGUCUUUUCCAGGCAAAGCACUCACUGAAGUGCGAAUAUUUUGGUUGUAGUGGGAAACAUUCCCCUUAUUACUAUAAGUGCCCUUUCUGGAAAGAGAUGCAGUUGUCAUCAUACUAAUUUGAAAGUGUUACAGCCGACAGAUGAAACGCAUACCCUUCACAGCUGAGGAUGUGGUGAGACCCGUCACAUGCUGUAAUCGCAAAGAGUCACCAUUAGGAGAAAAACACAGAGGGACACACACUGAAUGAAAGAGUGAAGAUCAAAAUUAUCUGUUUCAUCGCUGUCUUGUUUUGGCUGCCAAGUCACCGUGAGAAGGCCAGCAUGGGUGAAGGCAACGUGGAGGAGAGCGAGUGACUGGAAUGGGGAAGAGGAGGAGGGGAUCUGAAGGAACGAAGGGGCAUUAUGUAAUUCCCAAGAGGAGCCAUGGGAUUUCUGAAUAUGAAACAGGUGUGAGAGAAACACCUUUGGAGAGGGAGACCGAAAUGUUCUCAUGCUGCUUCAUAGUUUGGCAAAUGUUGAAAGUCUUUAAUCUUCAUAACUGGAGGAAUUAUAUCUGCACUUGAACUUGGAUAGCUGUGUUUCUCAGUGAGACUAUCACUCUAGGUCUUGAUUGAUGAUACGAAUUUAUUGCCAUACAGAAUUAGGUCAAAAAGAAGAAAUAUUAUGUCCAUGUAUAGCCAGAUUUAUGUUGGACAGUAUAUCAAAUUGUUUUAUGCUAUUUAAGCACUGUCUCAUCACACAUACCAGAGCAGUUCAAAAUAAAACUUGAAGCAAUAGAAAAAUUAA